Molecule: long non-coding RNA, 480 nt
Filed under: Physcomitrium patens
Lineage: Eukaryota; Viridiplantae; Streptophyta; Bryopsida; Funariales; Funariaceae
Description: long non-coding RNA (PPAT_LNC007540)
Source: RNAcentral
AUGUAAAUUAAUCUCUUUCAUCAAACUGUGUAUUCAGAGGAAGUGUACAGGGCAAACGUAGCAUAAUAGUGCAGAACCUAUGGGACAUAACCUACUACCAGCCUCGAAUUAUUGCAAUUAAAAACUUGCUGUAGUUCGCAUGGCUUACUAGAGACCUGAGUCGUCAGUUCCUGAAUCGUCCUGCCAAUUCCUCUCAAUGAGAGAUUGCUACCAUGUCCUUGUAUUUCGAGGGGCCCUCACACGAACAAGUUAAUAAUGCUGUAUUUCCAGCAUAUACUAUAUGUGGAAUUGCCACUGAUUUCACAUACGCAUAUGAACUAUUACUAAGAAACCAUUAAACUGUAUGUAAGCAGCAUCGAAGGUGGCCAAUUUCUACUCUUCAUAGUACCGCACCCUUCACGCUUUCUGAAAUGGAAAAAUAUGCCAAUUUUGAAGAACCUAGAUCUUUGGGAAGUUUUGUGUGAAAUUGGAGUCCUUGUG